AUUCCUUCUUGGUCUUUUGGCUAAGAUCAAGUAUAUUAUCUGUUUUUAUCAGUUUACUAUCUGAUACAACCUCUACCAGAGGACAAUAGAUUAAAUAGAUUUUUGGAGCAAGGAGAUGUAAUAGGAACUUUCUCAUCUGUUCCAUGCAUCCACCUGGUAUUUCAGUACCUCCAGGAAUGGUGCACCUCAC
Small nuclear RNA from Urocitellus parryii (Arctic ground squirrel), 190 nucleotides. Its record names the gene U2. It matches the Rfam family "U2 spliceosomal RNA". Rfam says of the family: U2 is a small nuclear RNA (snRNA) component of the spliceosome (involved in pre-mRNA splicing). NCBI's taxonomy places the organism in Eukaryota, Metazoa, Chordata, Mammalia, Rodentia, Sciuridae. The record is from Ensembl.